UACGUAGGGCGCAAGCGUUGUCCGGAAUUAUUGGGCGUAAAGAGCUCGUAGGCGGCCUGUCGCGUCCGCUGUGAAAUCCCGGGGCUUAGCCCCGGGCGUGCAGUGGAUACGGGCUGGCUGGAGGCAGGCAGGGGAGAACGGAAUUCCGGGUGUAGCGGUGGAAUGCGUAGAGAUCCGGAAGAACACCGGAGGCGAAGGCGGCUGGCUGGGCCUGAUCUGACGCUGAGGUGCGAAAGCGUGGGGAGCGAACAGG
RNAcentral lists this ribosomal RNA (253 nucleotides) under uncultured bacterium. RNAcentral's name for it is "partial 16S ribosomal RNA". It matches the Rfam family "Bacterial small subunit ribosomal RNA", at positions 524 to 776 of the family's 1533-position model. The record is from RNAcentral.